GAUGAACGCUGGCGGCGUGCCUAAUACAUGCAAGUCGAGCGAACGGACGAGAAGCUUGCUUCUCUGAUGUUAGUGGCGGACGGGUGAGUAACACGUGGAUAACCUACCUAUAAGACUGGGAUAACUUCGGGAAACCGGAGCUAAUACCGGAUAAUAUUUUGAACCGCAUGGUUCAAAAGUGAAAGACGGUCUUGCUGUCACUUAUAGAUGGAUCCGCGCUGCAUUAGCUAGUUGGUAAGGUAGCGGCUUACCAAGGCAACGAUGCAUAGCCGACCUGAGAGGGUGAUCGGCCACACUGGAACUGAGACACGGUCCAGACUCCUACGGGAGGCAGCAGUAGGGAAUCUUCCGCAAUGGGCGAAAGCCUGACGGAGCAACGCCGCGUGAGUGAUGAAGGUCUUCGGAUCGUAAAACUCUGUUAUUAGGGAAGAACAUAUGUGUAAGUAACUGUGCACAUCUUGACGGUACCUAAUCAGAAAGCCACGGCUAACUACGUG
Molecule: ribosomal RNA, 497 nt
Filed under: uncultured bacterium
Lineage: Bacteria
Description: partial 16S ribosomal RNA
Rfam family: Bacterial small subunit ribosomal RNA
Source: RNAcentral